GACGAACGCUGGCGGCGUGCUUAACACAUGCAAGUCGAACGGAAAGGCCCUGCUUUUGUGGGGUGCUCGAGUGGCGAACGGGUGAGUAACACGUGAGUAACCUGCCCUUGACUUUGGGAUAACUUCAGGAAACUGGGGCUAAUACCGGAUAGGAGCUCCUGCUGCAUGGUGGGGGUUGGAAAGUUUCGGCGGUUGGGGAUGGACUCGCGGCUUAUCAGCUUGUUGGUGGGGUAGUGGCUUACCAAGGCUUUGACGGGUAGCCGGCCUGAGAGGGUGACCGGGGAAAUUGGGACUGAGAUACGGCCCAGACUCCUACGGGAGGCAGCAGUGGGGAAUAUUGCACAAUGGGCGGAAGCCUGAUGCAGCAACGCCGCGUGCGGGAUGACGGCCUUCGGGUUGUAAACCGCUUUAGCCUGUGACGAAGCGUGAGUGACGGUAAUGGGUAAAGAAGCACCGGCUAACUACGUG
Molecule: ribosomal RNA, 468 nt
Filed under: uncultured bacterium
Lineage: Bacteria
Description: partial 16S ribosomal RNA
Rfam family: Bacterial small subunit ribosomal RNA
Source: RNAcentral